Molecule: non-coding RNA, 72 nt
Organism: Dallia pectoralis (Alaska blackfish)
Lineage: Eukaryota; Metazoa; Chordata; Actinopteri; Esociformes; Umbridae
Source: the annotation of a GenBank genome assembly
GCAGUUGGUAUCUCAGUGGAAGAGUGCAUGCUGUUGUGUAUGACGUUCUGGGUUCAAUCCCCAGCUGCUCCC